UUNGCUCAGAUNGAACGCUGNCGNCAUGCUUNACNCNUGCAAGUCGANCNGCAGCNCGGGUGCUUGCNCUGGUUGCGAGUGGCGAACGGGUGAGUAAUACAUCGGAACAUNUCCUGUAGUGGGGGAUAGCCCGGCGAAAGCCGGAUUAAUACCGCAUACGAUCUACGGAUGAAAGCGGGGGACCUUCGGGCCUCGCGCUAUAGGGUUGGCCGAUGGCUGAUUAGCUAGUUGGUGGGGUAAAGGCCUACCAAGGCGACGAUCAGUAGCUGGUCUGAGAGGACGACCAGCCACACUGGGACUGAGACACGGCCCAGACUCNUACGGGAGGCAGCAGUGGGGAAUUUUGGACAAUGGGCGAAAGCCUGAUCCAGCAAUGCCGCGUGUGUGAAGAAGGCCUUCGGGUUGUAAAGCACUUUUGUCCGGAAAGAAAUCCUUGGUCCUAAUAUGGCCGGGGGAUGACGGUACCGGAAGAAUAAGCACCGGCUAACUACGUGCCAGCAGCCGCGGUAAUACGUAGGGUGCAAGCGUUAAUCGGAAUUACUGGGCGUAAAGCGUGCGCAGGCGGUUUGCUAAGACCGAUGUGAAAUCCCCGGGCUCAACCUGGGAACUGCAUUGGUGACUGGCAGGCUAGAGUAUGGCAGAGGGGGGUAGAAUUCCACGUGUAGCAGUGAAAUGCGUAGAGAUGUGGAGGAAUACCGAUGGCGAAGGCAGCCCCCUGGGCCAAUACUGACGCUCAUGCACGAAAGCGUGGGGAGCAAACAGGAUUAGAUACCCUGGUAGUCCACGCCCUAAACGAUGUCAACUAGUUGUUGGGGAUUCAUUUCCUUAGUAACGUAGCUAACGCGUGAAGUUGACCGCCUGGGGAGUACGGUCGCAAGAUUAAAACUCAAAGGAAUUGACGGGGACCCGCACAAGCGGUGGAUGAUGUGGAUUAAUUCGAUGCAACGCGAAAAACCUUACCUACCCUUGACAUGGUCGGAAUCCUGCUGAGAGGCGGGAGUGCUCGAAAGAGAACCGGCG
This 1020-nucleotide ribosomal RNA is filed under the name Burkholderia stabilis. Its description in RNAcentral is "bacterial SSU rRNA". It matches the Rfam family "Bacterial small subunit ribosomal RNA", at positions 19 to 1032 of the family's 1533-position model. The record is from RNAcentral. Lineage: Bacteria; Pseudomonadati; Pseudomonadota; Betaproteobacteria; Burkholderiales; Burkholderiaceae.